Molecule: long non-coding RNA, 287 nt
Organism: Schistocerca nitens (vagrant locust)
Lineage: Eukaryota; Metazoa; Arthropoda; Insecta; Orthoptera; Acrididae
Exons: 2
Source: RefSeq, a predicted model, not a curated record
AGUGUACUCCAUCAGCAAGUUUAGUGCUCACUGAUCAGGCUGCACACACAGGUGCAGUUGGAGUCUUCAAAUCCUUCUUCGGCACUGAAGUAUCUGAAUCAACGAUGGUGCCAGUGUCUGAAGUAUUUGCUGAUUCCCGUAUUGUUUUGUCUGUCCACAUGUAAUAGAAAAUUAAGUAUGCUUGGUGCACAAAAUGGGGCAAACAAAUCUUUAUAAAUCUUCAAUGUAUUUCCUUUGUAAUUAUUAUAUAACAAUAGAGAAGAAGAAAAUAAAGAAGGUACAGGUAA